Long non-coding RNA from Gasterosteus aculeatus aculeatus (three-spined stickleback), 754 nucleotides. RefSeq lists it as uncharacterized. The record is from RefSeq and is a predicted model, not a curated record. Lineage: Eukaryota; Metazoa; Chordata; Actinopteri; Perciformes; Gasterosteidae.
GGAAAAACAUCAGCCUGAAGCUACAGAUGCAGAGCAGUUGGUGAUGCAUCAGCAUCAAGGGUUCAGGUUUCCCGAGCUCCACGCUUGUCUCGGGAACGACUACGGCAGGACUGGGCGCAGAAGGACUGGGCGCAGAAGGACUGGGCGCUGAAGGACUGGUCGUGGAGCUCCCACGCCAUCUGUGCAGUCUCCAGGAACGGGGAAGUGAUGUCGGCUUUUCGGUGAUUGCGGAGUUCACUGCUGUUUUUGCCCCUUUGCAAAUAUAUUUUGUAUUUAUGGUUACUUUGUUUUAUCCAGUAUUUUGAUUAUGCAUUGUUUUGUUUUCUCUCCAGACAAGUUGUUUAGUUUCUUUUGUUCUUCCGUAAACCAACUGGAGUGUGUCCUACACUGGGGUCCUCAAUGCCAGUGCAGGUGGGCUGAUCAUAGGUCUAUAGGUCGUGGUUCACAGGUGGAGGGCUUCCUCAUUCAUAGUUUAUUUGGCAUGUUUUAUAUUUGUUGUGCUCUAAUUUGUGUGUUUUUGUUUUGUAGUGCAUGUGUGACUUUUCCUUUCUGCUCCCUGGUUGUGGCCCCUUUCCCCUUCACCCCCCCACUGCUUUUGGCCUCCCUGAUAGUCACCUUGUGCUGGUAAAACACCUCAGUGUAGCGACAUCGAUUUUUAGCAUAGAAGAUAUUUUUGUAAUAAAAGACUUAUUUUUAAACAGACUGUUAACCAACAUGAAGCCUAUCCAUAAAUACAACUGGACACUGUUCAAAA